GAGGAAAGAGGGAGGGGGGAGGAACACAUGCAAGUCGAACGAUGAAGCCCAGCUUGCUGGGUGGAUUAGUGGCGAACGGGUGAGUAACACGUGAGUAACCUGCCCUUAACUCUGGGAUAAGCCUGGGAAACUGGGUCUAAUACCGGAUAGGAGCGUCCACCGCAUGGUGGGUGUUGGAAAGAUUUAUCGGUUUUGGAUGGACUCGCGGCCUAUCAGCUUGUUGGUGAGGUAAUGGCUCACCAAGGCGACGACGGGUAGCCGGCCUGAGAGGGUGACCGGCCACACUGGGACUGAGACACGGCCCAGACUCCUACGGGAGGCAGCAGUGGGGAAUAUUGCACAAUGGGCGCAAGCCUGAUGCAGCGACGCCGCGUGAGGGAUGACGGCCUUCGGGUUGUAAACCUCUUUCAGUAGGGAAGAAGCGAAAGUGACGGUACCUGCAGAAGAAGCACCGGCUAACUACGUG
This 466-nucleotide ribosomal RNA is filed under the name uncultured bacterium. Its description in RNAcentral is "partial 16S ribosomal RNA". It matches the Rfam family "Bacterial small subunit ribosomal RNA", at positions 38 to 507 of the family's 1533-position model. The record is from RNAcentral.